Molecule: ribosomal RNA, 706 nt
Filed under: actinobacterium KV-539
Lineage: Bacteria; Bacillati; Actinomycetota; Actinomycetes
Description: bacterial SSU rRNA
Rfam family: Bacterial small subunit ribosomal RNA
Source: RNAcentral
ACACAUGCAAGUCGAACGAUGAACCUGGAGCUUGCUCUAGGGGAUUAGUGGCGAACGGGUGAGUAACACGUGAGUAACCUGCCCUUGACUCUGGGAUAACCUCCGGAAACGGAAGCUAAUACCGGAUAUGACGCACGGAGGCAUCUCCUGUGCGUGGAAAGAACUUCGUUCAAGGAUGACUCGCGGCCUAUCAGUUAGUUGGUGAGGUAACGGCCCACCAAGCUUACGACGGUAGCCGGCUUGAGAGGUGACCGGCCACACUGGACUGAGACACGGCCCAGACUCUUACGGGAGCCAGCAGUGGGAAUAUUGCACAAUGGGCGCAAGCCUGAUGCAGCAACGCCGCGUGAGGNCGCUUCGGUUUAACCUCUUUAUAGGAAGAAGCGAAAGUGACGGUACCUGCAGAAAAAGCACCGGCUAACUACGUGCCAGCAGCCGCGGUAAUACGUAGGUGCGAGCGUUGUCCGGAAUUAUUGGGCGUAAAGAGCUCGUAGGCGGUCUGUCGCGUCUGCUGUGAAAUCCCGAGGCUCAACCUCGGGCCUGCAGUGGUACGGGCAGACUAGAGUGCGGUAGGGGAGAAUGGAAUUCCUGGUGUAGCGGUGGAAUGCGCAGAUAUCAGGAGGAACACCGAUGGCGAAGGCAGUUCUCUGGGCCGUAACUGACGCUGAGGAGCGAAAGCGUGGGGAGCGAACAGGAUUAGAUACCC